This is a long non-coding RNA of Triticum dicoccoides, 716 nucleotides long. RefSeq lists it as uncharacterized. The record is from RefSeq and is a predicted model, not a curated record. The transcript is spliced from 3 exons. NCBI's taxonomy places the organism in Eukaryota, Viridiplantae, Streptophyta, Magnoliopsida, Poales, Poaceae.
UGGGAGAAGCCACAGCCACAAAACAGACUUGCCUCUCUGCCCUCUUCUCUUUCCCCUCGGGCGACGGCGGUGGGGUGCUAUCCGGCGAGAUGUCCACCAACGGCGUCGACUGCGCCGUGUAUGCGCUACGGGCGGGGCGGCAGGUUAAUUCGAUGCAACCCAUAGCUGUGGUGCCUCGGGUGGAGUCCAAGCUUCGAUGGGUGUCGCAGAUGGCCUGAUUUGUCGCGUUGCCGAUCCAGCAGUGCCCAACUCCGGUGAUUUCCAGUUGGACUGAAACGGGGGAUUUGAGGUGUGCUCUGAAGCUACGAGCAGAUGGACAAGAAGGUAUAGCGCCUGCGAAGGACUGGCGUACUGCAGGUCGACAUACUUCAAGAGAAUAAGCAAAGGUCUAGGUUCUGCACCAUACGUCGAGGUCAGGGACACAAGAUUACCAGAUGCAUGUGCUGAACGAGGUGACAUCUCUAAUGCUCCAAAGAAAUUGCCAAAGUGUUUGAAGUGUGUAGUGCUUGGUCACAGGAAGAAUGUGUGACUUACCGAUCAAUUUGAGCCGAACUUCCUUUACCCCCGCUUUAUCAAAUGUAGCAAGAGUGUUUCGAAAUUCAGUUUCUCUACAUUUCAGUUCAUAAUUUUGUUCAUGUUCACCGGGUCAUUGUUGUGAUGACUGUUUGGGACUUAAUGAGAUAUUUUAUUCAAAUUGUCGGGACAUUUAAUUGAUA